RNAcentral lists this unclassified non-coding RNA (305 nucleotides) under Hevea brasiliensis (rubber tree). Lineage: Eukaryota; Viridiplantae; Streptophyta; Magnoliopsida; Malpighiales; Euphorbiaceae. The record is from RNAcentral.
CGCUUGGUGAAUUUUCUCUAGUGCCCAAGAAAAUAUUAGAAAUACAUAAUAAAGAUGAGGUGCUGAGAGCAGACAACGGCAGUACAGAAAACCCAGAUCAAGUUGAGGGGGUUAGGGUUGACAAAGAUUUUGUUGAUGGUCUUUUGGAGGGAAAAGUCAAAUUGAAAAAUAUGCAGGGCCAUCUUGAUUGUGUAACAGGAUUAGCCGUUGGAGGUGUGAAGUUCUCAUCUAAUGCUUUUAGAUUGCAAGAUUAUGCUUUUUCAGUUAUUAAUCCAUUCCAUGACACUUCAUUUGUCACUUAAUAU